UUGAACGCUGGCGGCGUGCCUAACACAUGCAAGUCGAGCGGUAACAGGUGUAGCAAUACAUGCUGACGAGCGGCGGACGGGUGAGUAACGCUUGGGAAUCUGCCUAUUAGUGGGGGACAACCCGGGGAAACUCGGGCUAAUACCGCAUACGCUCUACGGAGGAAAGCCGGGGACCGCAAGGCCUGGCGCUAAUAGAUGAGCCCAAGUCGGAUUAGCUAGUUGGUAGGGUAGUGGCCUACCAAGGCGACGACCCGUAACUGGUCUGAGAGGACGACCAGUCACACCGGGAACUGAGACACGGUCCGGACUCCUACGGGAGGCAGCAGUGGGGAAUAUUGGACAAUGGGCGAAAGCCUGAUCCAGCGACGCCGCGUGGGU
RNAcentral lists this ribosomal RNA (378 nucleotides) under uncultured bacterium. Its description in RNAcentral is "bacterial SSU rRNA". It matches the Rfam family "Bacterial small subunit ribosomal RNA", at positions 29 to 406 of the family's 1533-position model. The record is from RNAcentral.